CACACCUAUAUAUUAAGACUAACUUUACAAAACUGCAUCUACAUUACUCACAUUUGCGUGUUGCUUAUAGUUCAAAGAGAGAAGACUUAUGGUACAAUGACAUAUUUUUAACAAUGCUUUAAUUUUUAGGUUAUACAAUUUUGAUGAGCAAGAAUCCAAAUUCAAUAUCUCAGCGAGCCUCAACAUAUUUAAAUUGCAAGGAAAAACUUAAAAAGUUACGACAUUGGUAUCUUUUCUGAAGGGAAAGUACAUCUAGUUGGAUGCGUUAAACAGGUAUACAAUUUUGCUGAUCAAGAACCCAAAUUUAAUAAUUCGAAGGGCCUCAACAUAUUUAAAUUGCAAAGAAUCACUUAAAUAGUUUGGACAUUGGUAUCUUUUCUGAAAGGAAAGUGCAUUUAGUUGGAAACGUUAAACAGGUUAUACAAUUUUGAUGAGCAAGAAUCCAAAUUCAAUAUCUCAGCGGGCCUCAACAUAUUUAAAUUGAAAAGAAAACCUUAAAAAGUUUGGACAUUUGUAUCUUUUCUGAAGGGAAAGUACAUCUCGUUGGAUGCGUUAAACAGGUAAAGCUUGAAUGUUCCCAGUUGUUUUCACAUACAUUUGCAAAACAAAAAGUUAAUUAAUGAAAAAUGAUUAUAUUUUUUGAUUUUUUUUUAUAAUAAAAAAUACCUAGGUAUAGAUAUAUGAAUGUUCUUAUUAGCAUUGUCUAUACACCUUACAAUUUUUAAAACAGUUUCACACUUUUUGAGCUAGUUAUGGGGUUAAGACCUUUUAAUAUUUAUGAUGAGUAUUGUUUUAAAAUUAUUGUCAAGAAAAUGUAUCUAAGAAUUUGAAAAUGUUA
Long non-coding RNA from Acyrthosiphon pisum (pea aphid), 838 nucleotides. RefSeq lists it as uncharacterized. The record is from RefSeq and is a predicted model, not a curated record. The transcript has 3 exons. Lineage: Eukaryota; Metazoa; Arthropoda; Insecta; Hemiptera; Aphididae.